This 489-nucleotide ribosomal RNA is filed under the name uncultured bacterium. Its description in RNAcentral is "bacterial SSU rRNA". It matches the Rfam family "Bacterial small subunit ribosomal RNA", at positions 28 to 514 of the family's 1533-position model. The record is from RNAcentral.
GAUGAACGCUGGCGGCGUGCUUAACACAUGCAAGUCGAACGAAGCACUUUAUUAUGAUUUCUUCGGAAUGACGAUUUAGUGACUGAGUGGCGGACGGGUGAGUAACGCGUGGGUAACCUGCCUUAUACAGGGGGAUAACAGUUAGAAAUGACUGCUAAUACCGCAUAAGCGCACAGGAUUGCAUGAUCUAGUGUGAAAAACUCCGGUGGUAUAAGAUGGACCCGCGUCUGAUUAGCUGGUUGGUGAGGUAACGGCCCACCAAGGCGACGAUCAGUAGCCGACCUGAGAGGGUGACCGGCCACAUUGGGACUGAGACACGGCCCAAAACUCCUACGGGAGGCAGCAGUGGGGAAUAUUGCACAAUGGGGGAAACCCUGAUGCAGCGACGCCGCGUGAGCGAAGAAGUAUUUCGGUAUGUAAAACUCUAUCAGCAGGGAAGAUAAAUGACGGUACCUGACUAAGAAGCACCGGCUAAAUACGUGCCAGCAG